RNAcentral lists this ribosomal RNA (2900 nucleotides) under Escherichia coli. RNAcentral's name for it is "23S ribosomal RNA". It matches the Rfam family "Bacterial large subunit ribosomal RNA". Lineage: Bacteria; Pseudomonadati; Pseudomonadota; Gammaproteobacteria; Enterobacterales; Enterobacteriaceae. The record is from RNAcentral.
GGUUAAGCGACUAAGCGUACACGGUGGAUGCCCUGGCAGUCAGAGGCGAUGAAGGACGUGCUAAUCUGCGAUAAGCGUCGGUAAGGUGAUAUGAACCGUUAUAGCCGGCGAUUUCCGAAUGGGGAAACCCAGUGUGUUUCGACACACUAUCAUUAACUGAAUCCAUAGGUUAAUGAGGCGAACCGGGGAACUGAAACAUCUAAGUACCCCGAGGAAAAGAAAUCAACCGAGAUUCCCCCAGUAGCGGCGAGCGAACGGGGAGCAGCCCAGAGCCUGAAUCAGUGUGUGUGUUAGUGGAAGCGUCUGGAAAGGCGCGCGAUACAGGGUGACAGCCCCGUACACAAAAAUGCACAUGCUGUGAGCUCGAUGAGUAGGGCGGGACACGUGGUAUCCUGUCUGAAUAUGGGGGACCAUCCUCCAAGGCUAAAUACUCCUGACUGACCGAUAGUGAACCAGUACCGUGAGGGAAAGGCGAAAAGAACCCCGGCGAGGGGAGUGAAAAAGAACCUGAAACCGUGUACGUACAAGCAGUGGGAGCACGCUUAGGCGUGUGACUGCGUACCUUUUGUAUAAUGGGUCAGCGACUUAUAUUCUGUAGCAAGGUUAACCGAAUAGGGGAGCCGAAGGGAAACCGAGUCUUAACUGGGCGUUAAGUUGCAGGGUAUAGACCCGAAACCCGGUGAUCUAGCCAUGGGCAGGUUGAAGGUUGGGUAACACUAACUGGAGGACCGAACCGACUAAUGUUGAAAAAUUAGCGGAUGACUUGUGGCUGGGGGUGAAAGGCCAAUCAAACCGGGAGAUAGCUGGUUCUCCCCGAAAGCUAUUUAGGUAGCGCCUCGUGAAUUCAUCUCCGGGGGUAGAGCACUGUUUCGGCAAGGGGGUCAUCCCGACUUACCAACCCGAUGCAAACUGCGAAUACCGGAGAAUGUUAUCACGGGAGACACACGGCGGGUGCUAACGUCCGUCGUGAAGAGGGAAACAACCCAGACCGCCAGCUAAGGUCCCAAAGUCAUGGUUAAGUGGGAAACGAUGUGGGAAGGCCCAGACAGCCAGGAUGUUGGCUUAGAAGCAGCCAUCAUUUAAAGAAAGCGUAAUAGCUCACUGGUCGAGUCGGCCUGCGCGGAAGAUGUAACGGGGCUAAACCAUGCACCGAAGCUGCGGCAGCGACGCUUAUGCGUUGUUGGGUAGGGGAGCGUUCUGUAAGCCUGCGAAGGUGUGCUGUGAGGCAUGCUGGAGGUAUCAGAAGUGCGAAUGCUGACAUAAGUAACGAUAAAGCGGGUGAAAAGCCCGCUCGCCGGAAGACCAAGGGUUCCUGUCCAACGUUAAUCGGGGCAGGGUGAGUCGACCCCUAAGGCGAGGCCGAAAGGCGUAGUCGAUGGGAAACAGGUUAAUAUUCCUGUACUUGGUGUUACUGCGAAGGGGGACGGAGAAGGCUAUGUUGGCCGGGCGACGGUUGUCCCGGUUUAAGCGUGUAGGCUGGUUUUCCAGGCAAAUCCGGAAAAUCAAGGCUGAGGCGUGAUGACGAGGCACUACGGUGCUGAAGCAACAAAUGCCCUGCUUCCAGGAAAAGCCUCUAAGCAUCAGGUAACAUCAAAUCGUACCCCAAACCGACACAGGUGGUCAGGUAGAGAAUACCAAGGCGCUUGAGAGAACUCGGGUGAAGGAACUAGGCAAAAUGGUGCCGUAACUUCGGGAGAAGGCACGCUGAUAUGUAGGUGAGGUCCCUCGCGGAUGGAGCUGAAAUCAGUCGAAGAUACCAGCUGGCUGCAACUGUUUAUUAAAAACACAGCACUGUGCAAACACGAAAGUGGACGUAUACGGUGUGACGCCUGCCCGGUGCCGGAAGGUUAAUUGAUGGGGUUAGCGCAAGCGAAGCUCUUGAUCGAAGCCCCGGUAAACGGCGGCCGUAACUAUAACGGUCCUAAGGUAGCGAAAUUCCUUGUCGGGUAAGUUCCGACCUGCACGAAUGGCGUAAUGAUGGCCAGGCUGUCUCCACCCGAGACUCAGUGAAAUUGAACUCGCUGUGAAGAUGCAGUGUACCCGCGGCAAGACGGAAAGACCCCGUGAACCUUUACUAUAGCUUGACACUGAACAUUGAGCCUUGAUGUGUAGGAUAGGUGGGAGGCUUAGAAGUGUGGACGCCAGUCUGCAUGGAGCCGACCUUGAAAUACCACCCUUUAAUGUUUGAUGUUCUAACGUUGACCCGUAAUCCGGGUUGCGGACAGUGUCUGGUGGGUAGUUUGACUGGGGCGGUCUCCUCCUAAAGAGUAACGGAGGAGCACGAAGGUUGGCUAAUCCUGGUCGGACAUCAGGAGGUUAGUGCAAUGGCAUAAGCCAGCUUGACUGCGAGCGUGACGGCGCGAGCAGGUGCGAAAGCAGGUCAUAGUGAUCCGGUGGUUCUGAAUGGAAGGGCCAUCGCUCAACGGAUAAAAGGUACUCCGGGGAUAACAGGCUGAUACCGCCCAAGAGUUCAUAUCGACGGCGGUGUUUGGCACCUCGAUGUCGGCUCAUCACAUCCUGGGGCUGAAGUAGGUCCCAAGGGUAUGGCUGUUCGCCAUUUAAAGUGGUACGCGAGCUGGGUUUAGAACGUCGUGAGACAGUUCGGUCCCUAUCUGCCGUGGGCGCUGGAGAACUGAGGGGGCUGCUCCUAGUACGAGAGGACCGGAGUGGACGCAUCACUGGUGUUCGGGUUGUCAUGCCAAUGGCACUGCCCGGUAGCUAAAUGCGGAAGAGAUAAGUGCUGAAAGCAUCUAAGCACGAAACUUGCCCCGAGAUGAGUUCUCCCUGACCCUUUAAGGGUCCUGAAGGAACGUUGAAGACGACGACGUUGAUAGGCCGGGUGUGUAAGCGCAGCGAUGCGUUGAGCUAACCGGUACUAAUGAACCGUGAGGCUUAACCUU